AGCCUUCUAUAUCCGUGCUGAGAUUUCAUUACACACCAGACCACAAGGGCUGAUGAGACCCCCAAAAUAAGUGAAGCU
This 78-nucleotide microRNA precursor is filed under the name Schistosoma mansoni. RNAcentral describes it as "mir-3492 microRNA precursor family". It matches the Rfam family "mir-3492 microRNA precursor family". The record is from Rfam by way of RNAcentral. Lineage: Eukaryota; Metazoa; Platyhelminthes; Trematoda; Strigeidida; Schistosomatidae.